CUCCAGAGAGGGUUAAAUGUUCUGCUAUUACAAAUUGGAAUAAUUUAUUUAAAAUCACUGGCUCCACAAACAUUUAUGUCUGGAGAUUCAGUGAUGGCUGAAGAGUACAUGACACAAGCUGGCAAGUGGUACAGCAUAAGAUUUACACAUAAAUGAAGAUCUCAAGGCAGUCUAACCUUCUGACUUGAGUAGACUAA
This is a long non-coding RNA of Pygoscelis adeliae (Adelie penguin), 197 nucleotides long. RefSeq lists it as uncharacterized. NCBI's taxonomy places the organism in Eukaryota, Metazoa, Chordata, Aves, Sphenisciformes, Spheniscidae. The record is from RefSeq and is a predicted model, not a curated record. The transcript has 3 exons.